Molecule: non-coding RNA, 949 nt
Organism: Zonotrichia albicollis (white-throated sparrow)
Lineage: Eukaryota; Metazoa; Chordata; Aves; Passeriformes; Passerellidae
Source: RefSeq, a predicted model, not a curated record
CGGCGCUGCUGCCACCAGCGGCCGCGCUGGGCCGGCGGAGGCUCGGCCUCGGGCAGGGGUGCGUGCCCGCCGUGUGUCAGCACUCGCUGUGUGAACGCGGGUCUGCACGCCGCCCACGGCACGUAGGCCUGUAAUAUCUGCGUGUAUGCACAGAAUUUGACGUACCACAGAAUCGUUAGGGGUUGGGAGGCACUUCUGGAGAUCAUCUCGACCUACUCUCCUGCCAAGACAGGGUCACCUGGAUCACGUAACACAGGAACGCGUCCAGGCUGCGGUACUUCAAGAACUGCUCCAGAGUGGAGCCCUUCCAGGGGUCCAGGGCUCAUGGCAGGAGCCUGCUCCAGAACAGGAUUCUGAUGGGAUCACAUGUAACUUUGGACAUCCACCUGCCCCAGCAUGGGAUCCUCCAUGGGCUGUCAGUGGUUCUGUGCUCUACAGUGGACUCCUCCCCAGGUCACAGUCGCUUGUACUCAAGUUCACAUUGGAGUUCCAGCCUGUCCAAUGUGACAGCACAGGAGCACAGAUUGCCCUGGGCACCCUCCAGCCCAGGCACGUUGGCAUGGCUGUCUCCAAAGUGUUCCAGGCACAAAAUGCCAAGGUGACCACCAGUGCAGCCAGCAGCAAAAUCAGAGCAGCCACUAACAAGCACUGGGUUCCAACAGGCAGACAGGAAAGGGAGCCCCAUGGCAAGCACUGUAGCCUGCCAAUUAAUAGCUAAACAGCAGCAACAGGUACAAAUUCAUUGUAGCACAUUCAGUGAAAUCUGCCCCUUCAUGCACUACACUGGGUGCCAAAACAACUGGUAUGGUAUAACUGCAGCUGUUCUUUUUUUCAUUUUAAUCACUUGUUUUUCUGGAGUUUUAUUUUGUCUCUCCUUGUUUUGUCUUCAUUUGACCUUGCAAUUCAUUAUUACUAUUUCUAACUUAUUAAACUGCUGUUACUUACCUCA